This is a long non-coding RNA of Poecile atricapillus (Black-capped chickadee), 3718 nucleotides long. RefSeq lists it as uncharacterized. Lineage: Eukaryota; Metazoa; Chordata; Aves; Passeriformes; Paridae. The transcript has 3 exons. The record is from RefSeq and is a predicted model, not a curated record.
UCCAGUUCCAGUUUAGGCUGCUCGGGCCCGAUUUCCAAGGGAGCUCUCCUGGCUGUUCUGCAGCUUCAGCUGUGGGAAAAGGACCGGGGUGGCUUUUCCCGACGUGGGAACCCUGCGGUCCCGCGGGGCUCCGCAGCCCGGGCAGCUGCCGCUGUCACUCGCGCCUCAGCGGGGGCCGCGGCACCUCCGUGACACUUCACUCCUGAAACAACAGCAGCCAUCCCCUCCCGCUAAACCCCGUUUGUUGGCUGAGGCAGCCACCUUUAACCUUCGUAAAAUCAACAUCUCUGCGGUCAAGCACUGAAAAACGCAUGGGAAAAAUGGCACGGAUGGAGGAAUUUCACUGGUUUUGGAACACUGUAAGAUAUGCAGCCCAUGAGAAGUGAAUUUACUGUCAGCUUCUGUCCUGGAAAUAGAGGCCCUGAGGGAUGGAGGUUUUGAGAGCAGAGGUUAUGUGCUGGCCUCCCUCGAGGUGUUUCUCUGCAGCCUAAGCCUUGAACCAAAUUUUCAUUGCCUGAUGAUCUGUCCUCCACGAGGUUCCAAGGCUACAGAAAACUGUUCAUGAUGUGCAGCAUAUGGAUCUUUGCAUACAGAAAGGGACAUAAAUAGCUGCCCAGUCCUGGGAGCAAGAUAAGAUGCAAUUCUUUGAACUGCAGGAAGGACAACACGAGUGAGUGACAGCAGCAAACCCGUGAGACUGGGGGAGACAACUUUAAUUUAUUUGUACAGCAUGCACAUGGAAGGGUCCUUCCCUCCUGUUUGGGUAAUGAUAAAUGACAAGAUGUCGACAGUUAUUAAUUAAACUGCCUGGCAUAGCAAUGUACAUGAUGAUAAGACCUAAGAAAUGUGUAGCAUUCCUCCUACCCCAUCAUGAGAAUGAGGCCCCUCCACUGUUCUCUGGCACAGCAGAGAUUAGACUAAAGCAUCAAUAUUCCACUACAAGCUGGCUACCUAGUAACUGCCUGAACACAGGGCCCUAAAAAUUGAAAUUCUCCCUCAUGUGAUGUGUAGUAAUUAAACUUCAGCAUUCUUUCUGCAGGAAAUGUUUCUCCUGUGUUGUUCCCACAGAUUGUGCUACAACAACAAUUUUAGCCCCAUGAACUAUUAACCAAUUAUGAAGGGAUUUUCUCAGUCUGCUUUAACUGAGGAUCAAAGACAAAACCCAAUUUUUUUUCUUGCCAGUUAUUGUAAUUUAAGAUGCAAAACCAGGCAUGCACAGGACUCAAGGCUUUGGUCAGUCAAACAAAAUGGACUUCGUAACUCAAAUCCAUUUAAACUUUUCUGAUUUGCCUUGCUAAUAUUCCAUCUGCUUUUCUUCCUUAACAAAUACAUUGCUACACAAUUGCAAUACAUUUAUUCUAUUCUACUUCCAUUUAUUUCUUUCACAUCCAUAUCUUUUAUGUAUGUGCUACUUGGAGCUAAGUAUGUCUAUAUACUGCCCAGUAACUCAGAAUGAAAUUUUUGAAAAUUAACUAAUUUUAAAUUGCCAUGGGCUGCAGAUGUGAAGAAUCCUUCUGUUAUUACUGCUAAAUGUUUUUAUUCUGGCUGAUUAGUAUGGCUUUUUUGGCCUUUCUUACAUAGAAGAUCUUUUUUUAAACUACAAAAAUGCAAUCUGGGUGAUUGUCCUUUAAAUACUGUCUUAGGAGCCAGAUAUCAAAAAUCAGUACAGCUCCACAGAAACUCAUAUCAGUUGCAGUUAUCUCUUGGGCAUGACUUUCCUCUUAGUUAUGUUUUUGGGGGUUUUUUUUUGGUUUUUUUUUAAGUUUUCUGGACCAGCCUUUCACCAGACUUGUGUGUGAGGUCUCCCUGAAGAGCCAGGUCCAAAUAAAUUUUGCCAUAACUGUCAUUUCCCUAAAGACCACCCAUAAAAAAUGUUUGCAUGAAUGCCCUUUGGCCUGUGCCAUUCUAUCUACACUCUAAAUAUAUAUUAGAAUUUAUAUUUCCACUGUUUGUAAAUUCAAGGUCCAUUGGCAUGUCUAUAUGUAACACAUACUUCAAAAUAAUAGUGGUGUUUUUCAGUAAAUACAGGGUGAUGGCACUGCUGACCAGACCAGAAUUACAGAUUUGAGGGCUGUGUAGCUUAAAAGUAAAUUGGAUGUGGGCUGAGUUUAUUGCUCACAUGCAAACUGCCAGCUCAGACUGUGCUACAAACCAGUUGCACACAUCCAAUGGCCCCUUUGAGGUUCCAAAUCCCCAAAAUAAUGAAGAACUAGUUAAAAUCCUUACAAGUUAGACAGACAACCCUCCAAACAGAAAAAAGGGAUCUGUCUGAGGGUAUGAUGCUUGGAUUCUGAGAUUAUGCCAGUUUUCCCACUAAGGAUGUCCUAUUCACUUACUCCUAUCAGUGGACAAUGCUCCAUUGAAUAUUUGCAUUUAUUAACACUUUUCAUUCCACAAAGUCCUGUUGUUCCACUGCAAGUGCAAGUUCAAUCCUUAUGACUGUUUCUGAUUUCUCAAUGCCAUAUUAGAGAUGUUACUGAAAAGAAACAGUUCUAGAGAAAAGUAUCUUUUCCAGUUGACCCAUUUUUGACUCCUAGAAGGAGUCUGGACACCUCUCUGAUUUGAAGAUUAAUUUAUUUGGAAGCCCAUACUAAUUGGUGAUCAGGCUUAUAUACACAUAUAUUUUCACUGGAAGUCUAUGGUGUUGUUUGUCCUCUUCCUCCCCUCAAUAAUUUCCUGAUAGCACUACUUUUGUUUCUAGACAUGCAGAAAUUCAACAUGAGUGAGAAGUUUUGGGUUUUGAGCGCUACCCUUAAUCUCAAGAACAAUUUUAGGAGAAAACUAUCACUUUUAAAACUAACUUCUCCUGCUAAUUUGACUAGGGAAAAAAAUAAGGCCCUGCAAAUAGCAAAACUCUCCAAAUGGGAAAGUAAUUACCUUAAAUUAAGCCUUAUUUCUGGUUAUAAAAAAAACCCAACAAAACAAGAAACCAACAACCACCCAAUUCUAAAAGCAUGUUGGGCAGACUGGAAGCAUUAGAGUUAAAUACUGGCCAGUUUUUAGUGAAAGGGAAGGAAAUAGAUGGGAGGAAGGAAGGAAGAAGAGAUUAGAGAAAUUGAGAGAUGUAAAUAGUCUCAGAGGAGCCACCGUGUCCCAAAACCUCUCCUAAGGGAAGUUUUUACACCAAAGAAUCUGGAGGCCUGAAUGAAGAAUGACAUCACUUAUUUAUUUAGCCAGAGCUGAGUUGUUUUCUUAAUUGAAAUAACCUCAUGCUGCAAGCAUUAAAUUGUUGGUGGAGUGAUAAUGAUGUCUGUUUAAUUUAGGGGCUUGAUAACCAUGAAAUAAAUGCCCUGUUAUUCCUUGGUUUGAGAGUAUAUUUAAAUUGCCUGGAAAGACAUGAACUAGAAAGCUUGAGCCUUAGGGUUAAUGCUCCAAACAGCCUGAUGUGGGAGUCUUCAGGGGGGAGAUGCAUGACUUUGGAUUUGUAACUCAGUCAAGGAUUUGGGGCUACUCCCCUUUGAGAUGAAAAUGAUGGUAUUACCCUUCUGGACACCAUGAACAGACCAACGUGUUCUCAAGUUCAUAAGAAAAUUCCCAAUUUCCAUCUAAAGUGCGAGUUCCCAGGUGUCAUGACAGGCCCACUGGUAUCAGCUGUAAUCUGAGUGCCCAAUAUGGGGCACAUCACACACUGCCUCACCUGGGAGGGUUAAAAUGGGUGUUUAUGGCUCCAGAAGAACUUAGAGCAGACUUCCAACACCUAAAUAGGGUCUACAGGAAA